UACGUAGGGGGCAAGCGUUGUCCGGAAUCAUUGGGCGUAAAGCGCGCGUAGGCGGCCCGGUAAGUCCGCUCUGAAAGUCCAGGGCUCAACCCUGGAAAGCGGGUGGAUACUGCCGGGCUAGAAUCCGGAAGAGGCGAGUGGAAUUCCUGGUGUAGCGGUGGAAUGCGCAGAUAUCAGGAGGAACACGAAUAGCGAAGGCAGCUCGCUGGGACGGUACUGACGCUGAGACGCGAAAGCGUGGGGAGCGAACAGG
RNAcentral lists this ribosomal RNA (253 nucleotides) under uncultured bacterium. Its description in RNAcentral is "partial 16S ribosomal RNA". It matches the Rfam family "Bacterial small subunit ribosomal RNA", at positions 524 to 776 of the family's 1533-position model. The record is from RNAcentral.